AACUAACGCUGGCGGCGUGCCUAAUACAUGCAAGUCGAACGCGAAAGUCCUUCGGGAUGAGUAGAGUGGCGCACGGGUGAGAAACACGUGGGUAAUCUGCCCAGAAGUGGGGAAUAACUCCUCGAAAGAGGAGCUAAUACCGCAUAAGACCACGACAACUAAGGUUGUUGGGGUUAAAGGUGACCUCUGUUUACAAGUUAUCGUUUCUGGAUGAGCCUGCGCAACAUUAGCUAGUUGGUGGGGUAAUGGCCUACCAAGGCUACGAUGUUUAGAUGGUCUGUGAGGAUGAUCAACCACACUGGAACUGAGACACGGUCCAGACUACUACGGGAGGCAGCAGUAGGGAAUAUUGCUCAAUGGGGGAAACCCUGAAGCAGCAACGCCGCGUGAGUGAUGAAGGCCUUCGGGUCGUAAAGCUCUGUUGUACGGGGAGAACGUGGGUAUGGCUAACAUCCAUAUCCAGUGACGGUACCGUAUAAGAAAGGGACGGCUAAC
RNAcentral lists this ribosomal RNA (495 nucleotides) under uncultured bacterium. Its description in RNAcentral is "partial 16S ribosomal RNA". It matches the Rfam family "Bacterial small subunit ribosomal RNA", at positions 29 to 501 of the family's 1533-position model. The record is from RNAcentral.